GAGGACGGGCGCCGGCAGGUGGCCGGUUGCGUUGCUUCCGCUUCGCGGCCGGUUGUUAGCCAGCUCGUCCGUGGCGCGACACCCGACCGAGGUUGAUCGGUUCCCGUACGGGAACUCGCCGUCCCCUUCCUACCCACGUAGGGAGCGGGCGCUCUGGCAGGCGUAUCGCGGUGUUGCCACGUCACUCUUCGUAGUGGCCGGUGCUCCGAGGUCGCUGUUGGCCGGAAGCGUCUCGCGGGGGUGCAUGCGGCUGGCAGCGAGUAGGUCGGUCACCCACCCGACCCGUCUUGAAACACGGACCAAGGAGUCUAACAUGUGCGCGAGUCACGGGGUCUUGAUUAGGCCCACAGGCGCAAUGAAAGUGAAGGUCGACCUCGACGUCGGCUGUGUUGGGAUUUCUCUCCCCANNNNNNCGGGGAGGGGAAGCACCAACGACCCGUCCUAUCCGAUUUAUCGGUUGGGCGGAGUCUGAGCGUACACGUUGGGACCCGAAAGAUGGUGAACUAUGCCUGGGCAGGACGAAGCCAGAGGAAACUCUGGUGGAGGUCCGUAGCGGUUCUGACGUGCAAAUCGAUCGUCAGACCCGGGUAUAGGGGCGAAAGA
Molecule: ribosomal RNA, 603 nt
Filed under: Dysdera verneaui
Lineage: Eukaryota; Metazoa; Arthropoda; Arachnida; Araneae; Dysderidae
Description: eukaryotic LSU rRNA
Rfam family: Eukaryotic large subunit ribosomal RNA
Source: RNAcentral